ACCUUAAGCCACUAGGGGUAUCUUUGUACCAUUUUUCAUCCUGCACUCAUUUGGAGUGGAAACCUAUAUUAGGGGAAAACCAGGGUCCUCGGCAUUUUUUUGCUAGCUGUGCACCCAGAAUCCAAAAACAUUUUAGAAAGAAAGAAUCCACAGUUCUUUUGGUCAUCCGAACAGGGCUACGAAAUCGCUCUACUGGACAUCAGCACCAGGGAUUCAUUUUUGAGGUCAAUUUCCAAUCGAGAUAAAUCUAUUGGAUUAGUAGGAUUAUCUGAUUGCAGCUGAAAGAAGUAACGUUGUUUGAUCAUUUGUAUUUCUUGCCUGAUGCUCGGAUUUACAUGGAGGUGGCUUCGGGUCCUAAGGAUUCUGGAUCGUGGUUGCAGCUGGAGAGAAAAAAGGAUCAAUCGACACGUUUUGGAAGUGUCCGUGGGUGAAUAAAAAAAAAAAAAAAAAAAGGAAGGGGGGGGGGGGGGGGCGCAAAACGGGUUGCGGCUGCUUAGAGAAGAAAAAAAACAAAUAAAGGAAGCAUCUUGAAUUGUCAAACAAGAAUUACCGAAUGCUCAAGAUUCCAGAAUAAGCAUCUAGGAACUGGUAAAUACUUGGAGCAAUUCAGCUUGAAUUUGACGGCGAAGUGUUGUAGAAACUGUCUCCUUCAAUUAUUGGAAGGGGACUGGGGAAAGAUGAGGGGGCUCCCUCUGUGGAUUUAUCUUAUUGAGGGAUAUAGACCUGCAGCCAACUGGAUUUGAUUUGUAAGCGGGAAAUGUACAGUCAGUGGCCACUCUCACCACAUUGCUACGAUGGAAAACAGAAUAGUCAAUAGGAUAUGGUCUGAUAAAUAGUGAUAAUUGAAGAUGUUACUUCAAUACACAUGAAAUCAGUGGAGAUACUGGCUGCACGAAGAGCUUUCUGAGCUUUUCUUGACAAACUCGCCUUUAAGAAAUCAGAGGUGUAGUCUACCAAUAUACGGUUUUUCUCAAGUGGAUACAAAUACCUUUGACUCACUGUAACCAGACAAC
RNAcentral lists this long non-coding RNA (1013 nucleotides) under Bos mutus (wild yak). Its description in RNAcentral is "lncRNA (ENSBMUG00000006388.1)". Lineage: Eukaryota; Metazoa; Chordata; Mammalia; Artiodactyla; Bovidae. The record is from RNAcentral.